RNAcentral lists this ribosomal RNA (468 nucleotides) under uncultured bacterium. RNAcentral describes it as "partial 16S ribosomal RNA". It matches the Rfam family "Bacterial small subunit ribosomal RNA", at positions 28 to 507 of the family's 1533-position model. The record is from RNAcentral.
GACGAACGCUGGCGGCGUGCUUAACACAUGCAAGUCGAACGGAAAGGCCCUGCUUUUGUGGGGUGCUCGAGUGGCGAACGGGUGAGUAACACGUGAGUAACCUGCCCUUGACUUUGGGAUAACUUCAGGAAACUGGGGCUAAUACCGGAUAGGAGCUCCUGCUGCAUGGUGGGGGUUGGAAAGUUUCGGCGGUUGGAGAUGGACUCGCGGCUUAUCAGCUUGUUGGUGGGGUAGUGGCUUACCAAGGCUUUGACGGGUAGCCGGCCUGAGAGGGUGACCGGCCACAUUGGGACUGAGAUACGGCCCAGACUCCUACGGGAGGCAGCAGUGGGGAAUAUUGCACAAUGGGCGGAAGCCUGAUGCAGCAACGCCGCGUGCGGGAUGACGGCCUUCGGGUUGUAAACCGCUUUCGCCUGUGACGAAGCGUGAGUGGCGGUAAUGGGUAAAGAAGCACCGGCUAACUACGUG